Long non-coding RNA from Cyprinus carpio carpio, 1076 nucleotides. NCBI's taxonomy places the organism in Eukaryota, Metazoa, Chordata, Actinopteri, Cypriniformes, Cyprinidae. The record is from Ensembl.
CACAAAUGCCCGUAAAUAUUGCUCUUUGCUUCAGAGCUAUUUGAAGAGAAAAAAAGAGGGGGUGGGGGGUGGGGGUGGAUCUCCGCCAAAGAUUACAUGGGACUUUUCAGGGGUGAACAUAUAGAUUUUCCUGACAAGAAGGCCCUCUAUUAUUCUGACCUUAGCCAAGGCGAACUCUGGCAGAGACAGCAAGCGCACCUUUCAGCUUGAGUGGCCAGGGCCAGGAGACUCGUCGAAAGGCUUUCUGAAAGGGAGGAGAGCUUGUUUACCGCUGCUAUGACACGGCAGCCCUGCUGGGCAGGAAAUGCAGGGCCCUGAACCCUGUUAUUAUUAACAAGGACAAAGAGAACAAGCCGGCCCCAGACCGGCUGCCAAUGUGACAAGUAUGGAUUUACUGCUCAGAAAUUCACAAGAGGACACUCAGCCUUCAAACAGAAAGAGCGAGAAUCUGAGACAGAGACGUGAAGGAAAGCAGAGCGCUAAUGAAGGCCUGCUCAGAUUGAGUGACCAAUGUUUCGUGUCUGAGUGACAUCACCGCAUUAAAGCGGCCGGAAUCUCCUGAGAGGUCUCCAGAGAGAAGACGAGAGAAUCGCAGCGACAGAAUGAAGCCAGUGUUUAGUGUUCAUUCCUGCAGACUUCUGCUCCAUCACCUGGAGACCCGCAGCCCUGCCGAGACACAACCAAAUCCAUAAACAACACACAGACCCUCCUCAUCAACACAAGAGGCAAGCUGUUAAUUAUCAAAAGCCAAAGAUGAGCAAUAGCCCUUCAUGAACGAGCACACAAACCAAAUCUAACAGGGGACAUGCUGGAAUCACGAGGACACGCUGCUGAAGGGACCUAAUGAGCAAGUUCAUUUCCAUUUACAUUGUUUCUUUGACAAUAAUGAUGUCCCAUUAGGGGAGACUAAAGGGUUAUAGAGUGAGAAACGCGCCAGGCCUCAUUACCAAAGGUGGGGAGGGAGGCGCCUUUAAUUGCUCUAUCAGGGCCCAGAGUUACACUUGAUAGGACAACAGAAGCAGACUUUGGGGAAGAAGAAAAAAAAGAGCGAAUGAGAGCGAGAGAGAGAGAGAGAG